Molecule: ribosomal RNA, 427 nt
Filed under: Caulobacter vibrioides
Lineage: Bacteria; Pseudomonadati; Pseudomonadota; Alphaproteobacteria; Caulobacterales; Caulobacteraceae
Also listed under: 2 other names
Description: partial 16S ribosomal RNA
Rfam family: Bacterial small subunit ribosomal RNA
Source: RNAcentral
UGGGGAAUAUUGCACAAUGGGCGCAAGCCUGAUGCAGCCAUGCCGCGUGUAUGAAGAAGGCCUUCGGGUUGUAAAGUACUUUCAGCGGGGAGGAAGGUGUUGAGGUUAAUAACCUCAGCAAUUGACGUUACCCGCAGAAGAAGCACCGGCUAACUCCGUGCCAGCAGCCGCGGUAAUACGGAGGGUGCAAGCGUUAAUCGGAAUUACUGGGCGUAAAGCGCACGCAGGCGGUCUGUCAAGUCGGAUGUGAAAUCCCCGGGCUCAACCUGGGAACUGCAUUCGAAACUGGCAGGCUAGAGUCUUGUAGAGGGGGGUAGAAUUCCAGGUGUAGCGGUGAAAUGCGUAGAGAUCUGGAGGAAUACCGGUGGCGAAGGCGGCCCCCUGGACAAAGACUGACGCUCAGGUGCGAAAGCGUGGGGAGCAAACA